UCACAAUGCAAGAUCAAAUUCCAGUGCUUUGAAUGACUUCUCCUCUUGAUUGUACCAUUAUCGUCAUCACUUGAAGAAUCUGAAGCACUGGAUUGUGCUUGCCUGUGGCACCGACGAUGCUUUGCAUGGCUUCUCCUUUUGAUAACUUCAUCAUCAUCAUCAUCAUUUGAAUAAUCAGAAGCACUGGAAUUUGAUCUUGCAUUGUGAUGCCUAUGUCUUCUAUGGUUUUUCUUUUUCUUCCUCCUUUCUUCUUCAGAGUCACUCUCAAAACCAUCACUGCUAUCGUCACUGGAGUCUGAGGACCGUCUUUUUGGCUUUCGAUUGGAUUUCUUUUCCCUCCUCUUCUCAUUGUCACCUGACUCAGAGUGGGCAUGCUUUCUGUGUUUUUUAUGGGUCCUUUUGCGGGACUUUUUUCCAUCAUUGCUAUCACUAUCACUGUCAAUGUCAGACUUCAACACAGAUCUUUUAUGUUUUGCCGCCUUCUGCUUCCUCUCUUUGGCUUCAGCAUCAGCCUUUGCCUUUGCAGCAGCUUCUAAUUUUUGUUCCCAUUUCAAUGGGGCUUCUUUCUUCUCCAAAGCUCUCUUCUUUUUCUCCUCAACCAACUGGAUGAAUUUCUUGCAGUCCAUUUAUAUAUAAGAACAAGCUCAAUAUCUUAUGUGCAAACAAGAAACACCUCCCUCAAAGCUCAAGCUAAC
RNAcentral lists this unclassified non-coding RNA (695 nucleotides) under Hevea brasiliensis (rubber tree). Lineage: Eukaryota; Viridiplantae; Streptophyta; Magnoliopsida; Malpighiales; Euphorbiaceae. The record is from RNAcentral.